GGAAGAAGAAGAAGAAAAAGAAAAAGAAAAGAAAAAAUUGCUCCGCCUGGCCUUCGCUUUUUUUUUCCGGCGGAAAAAAAAAAAGAACGAGAGAACGAAGAGGAAAGAGAAAAAGUAAUAAGGGUAUUUUGGUCAGUUUGCUAAAAAAGCGGAUCGAAUCUGCAAAAAUGAAAAAGGUGGCCCGAUUUUGCAAAAGUCCAAAAUAAGUGGAUUUUUUAUGCAAAUUGGCCAUGUUUUUUUCUUAAAAAAAGAAAUU
Molecule: long non-coding RNA, 256 nt
Filed under: Ananas comosus (pineapple)
Lineage: Eukaryota; Viridiplantae; Streptophyta; Magnoliopsida; Poales; Bromeliaceae
Description: long non-coding RNA (ACOM_LNC013890)
Source: RNAcentral